GACGAACGCUGGCGGCGUGCUUAACACAUGCAAGUCGAACGGAAAGGCCCUGCUUUUGUGUGGUGCUCGAGUGGCGAACGGGCGUGUAACACGUGAGUAACCUGCCCUUGACUUUGGGAUAACUUCAGGAAACUGGGGCUAAUACCGGAUAGGAGCUCCUGCUGCAUGGUGGGGGUUGGAAAGUUUCGGCGGUGGGGGAUGGACUCGCGGCUUAUCAGCUUGUUGGUGGGGAAGUGGCUUACCAAGGCUUUGUCGGGUAGCCGGCCUGAGAGGGUGACCGGCAACAUUAGGACUGAGAUACGGCCCAGACUACUACGGGAGGCAGCAGUGGGGAAUAUUGCACAAUGGGCGGAAGCCUGAUGCAGCAACGCCGCGUGCGGGAUGACGGCCUUCGGGUUGUAAACCGCUUUCGCCUGUGACGAAGCGUGAGUGACGGUAAUGGGUAAAGAAGCACCGGCUAACUACGUG
RNAcentral lists this ribosomal RNA (468 nucleotides) under uncultured bacterium. RNAcentral's name for it is "partial 16S ribosomal RNA". It matches the Rfam family "Bacterial small subunit ribosomal RNA", at positions 28 to 507 of the family's 1533-position model. The record is from RNAcentral.